RNAcentral lists this small nucleolar RNA (103 nucleotides) under Helianthus annuus (common sunflower). RNAcentral describes it as "Small nucleolar RNA Z103". It matches the Rfam family "Small nucleolar RNA Z103". Rfam says of the family: This family consists of several snoRNA Z103 sequences which are members of the C/D class of snoRNA which contain the C (UGAUGA) and D (CUGA) box motifs. This family seems to be found exclusively in plants. The record is from RNAcentral. Lineage: Eukaryota; Viridiplantae; Streptophyta; Magnoliopsida; Asterales; Asteraceae.
AUGAAAGUGAUGAUUAUUUCCCCAGAUGAUCGAAGCUGAUCAUACUGUGCACUAUUUUACUUUCUUCUUUACAAGGAGAAUCCAAGCCAGAGAUCUGAUCCAU